GAUGAACGCUGGCGGCGUGCCUAAUACAUGCAAGUCGAGCGAACGGACGAGAAGCUUGCUUCUCUGACGUUAGCGGCGGACGGGUGAGUAACACGUGGAUAACCUACCUAUAAGACUGGGAUAACUUCGGGAAACCGGAGCUAAUACCGGAUAAUAUUUUGAACCGCAUGGUUCAAAAGUGAAAGACGGUCUUGCUGUCACUUAUAGAUGGAUCCGCGCUGCAUUAGCUAGUUGGUAAGGUAACGGCUUACCAAGGCAACGAUGCAUAGCCGACCUGAGAGGGUGAUCCGCCCCACCGGAACUGAGACCCGGUCCCGACUCCUACGGGAGGCAGCCGUAGGGAAUCUUCCGCCAUGGGCGAAAGCCUGACGGAGCCACGCCGCGUGGGUGAUGAAGGUCUUCGGAUCGUAAAACCCUGUUAUUAGGGAAGAACCUAUGUGUAAGUAACUGUGCCCAUCUUGACGGUACCUAAUCAGAAAGCCACGGCUAACUACGUG
This 497-nucleotide ribosomal RNA is filed under the name uncultured bacterium. Its description in RNAcentral is "partial 16S ribosomal RNA". It matches the Rfam family "Bacterial small subunit ribosomal RNA", at positions 28 to 507 of the family's 1533-position model. The record is from RNAcentral.